UUUUUUUGUACAGUGCAAAAGAGGAUGAUGUGACUGUUUUUGACAUUGUUCUGUUGCUGACAUUAUAAAUAAGUCUUUAUUUUUAUAGUCUAUCUUGAAUUUAUGGUAAACAAGUAGAGAUGGAAAAAAUAUAUACACUUCUAUUGAUGUGCAACAAAGCUCUUUUGAUUUUGCAUGAUUGUUUAUUUUUUUACCAGAUUGGAAAACCCAUCCGGAUCCAAAAGUAGCUAUGGCUUUGUACAGAAAGGAAAUUCUCAGACUGCAUGAGACAGAGAAACCUCUUUAAAUGUGUAUGGACUUGAGAACGUGUGCUGAAGAACAGGAAAGGCAACUGAUCAACUUCUACAAGCAAAGAAAUGUAGAGUGGGCCUGUCCUGUCAAAUGUCAACUUGAAGGGGAUGCUGCAGUUGGUGAUGGAGUCACCAGACACUUUUUUCUACAAUUCUUGAAAAACUGAAGUAUGGUUUCAGUUUGAACUUGGGAAACACAGGAGUUACUUGCCUCUUUGAGGGACAGCCAGACCACUUGGUGCCCUCAUCCUCACAAUUCCUCAUUGAAAGUGACCUCUUCCUAGUAGCGGGGAGAAUGCUAGGUCAUUCUUUUCUGCACGGCGGCCCAUGUCUCGCAGGGCUCAGCAGAGCUUUUGUUCAUGUUCUACUUCAAGGUUCUCAAGAUACUGCCACUUUGCAACUGGAGGACUGCCCAGAUGUUGACAUACGGGAGACCAUCAACUUGCUCAGUGGACAGUCUCCAUUGAAUGAGGACCAGUCUAGUAAAGUCCUGGAUCUUUGUUUGUCUUGGGAUCUUCCUGGUCCAACAGAAGAAAACAGAAGGUGGCUUUACGAACGUCUGCUGUCACAUGCGGUUCUCGGGAGAAGAGUACGCCAAAUCAAGCAACUGAAACGAGGACUGAAAGACACUUGUGUUUGGCCUCGUCUAACUGAGAGGAAGGAUGUGGUAUUCUUUCCCAAGGAAUCGGAGGACUCAUGCACUCCUGAGAUGCUGCUUUCACACAUCUCCUGUCCUAGAGAGAGUGAUGACGAAGAUGAUGAAGAAUACUCAGCUGAUAUAAAGGAACGGAUCACAGGGUAUUUAAAGCAGUUCAUUGAGACAGCAUCCAGCAAGGACUUAAAAACCUUCUGAAGUUCUGGGUCGGAUGGGAGCAGAUGGAGGAAAAUAUGGCUGUGGAAAUUGUGAAAAGUGAUCUCCCAAAAUCCUCUAGCUGCUUCUGUGUUCUCCGGCUCCAAGGGCACUACAACAGUUUCCAGUCCUUCAACAAGGACUUGAUGAUGUGCAUUGGCACAAUGUGUAGUUUUUAGACACAUGUACAUGUUACAUUUGUUACACAGUGAUACACACUUUUAUUAAAUGCUGUUACUGCACUUAGGACCAAUGCUUUGUUCAAACCCAGCUUACAGGUUUUUUUCUUUUUCAUUUUUGGGAUUGCUUUGUACAUGAUGCUUGUUGAUCGUGUUGCUAUUUUUUUGAUACGAUGCUAUAAGAUAUAGUACAUUAAGUAAUUGGUUAAUGUUCUGUACACGCAGUCACUUAUACUGUCAACUUGUAUCGUUCCACAAUGGUUUUUUUCAUGCAUGGGCUCAUGCAGUGGUAUAUACAUUGUUGUUCCAUAGCUUGUCGGAAUUUGCUAAAUAUCAUUAAGUACUUUAUUCUUUUAAAGUAUUUGAAUUUAUGCAAAAUGUAUAUUUAAACAUGUUCAAUGGAAGUACAAAUAUUAAAAAUAAGUCUAUUCUUGAAUAAAAAAAUCCAUAAUCCACUGUGCUUAUGACUAACUGAUGGAAUGGUCAAAUUAAACAAGUGCAAAUUAAACAAAAACAACAUUCUUACAUACAGGUUUUUUUUAUUCAGAUACUUUAACGUAUUGAGUACAAAUAUUAAUUCUUUCUUAAUUGCUUCUGCUAGAAGUCUGCCUCUUUAAGGCUAAAGAUGACAAUCACAUUUAUUCCAUAAUCGAUUGGCAAAAAUGAAGUGCAGCUAGAUAGAUGUCCCAGCCAAAAUCUGUGAAGGUCCUUUGGGGUCAACAUUUUCUCUGAGUGCUUCUAUUCGCUCAUCAGUCAGGGGACAUUGGGUUUGAGGCACAACAACGCUGGAAUGUGCAUCAACAUCAGUCCACUACUCUCCCAGUCUAUCUGUGGUGUGCUG
Carassius gibelio (silver crucian carp) is the source of this 2160-nucleotide RNA transcript. RefSeq lists it as uncharacterized. Lineage: Eukaryota; Metazoa; Chordata; Actinopteri; Cypriniformes; Cyprinidae. The transcript has 8 exons. The record is from RefSeq and is a predicted model, not a curated record.